Molecule: ribosomal RNA, 253 nt
Filed under: uncultured bacterium
Lineage: Bacteria
Description: partial 16S ribosomal RNA
Rfam family: Bacterial small subunit ribosomal RNA
Source: RNAcentral
UACGAAGGGGGCUAGCGUUGCUCGGAAUUACUGGGCGUAAAGCGCACGUAGGCGGAUUUGUAAGUCAGGGGUGAAAUCCCGGGGCUCAACCUCGGAACUGCCUUUGAUACUGCAAAUCUCGAGUCCGGGAGAGGUGAGUGGAACUGCGAGUGUAGAGGUGAAAUUCGUAGAUAUUCGCAAGAACACCAGUGGCGAAGGCGGCUCACUGGCCCGGUACUGACGCUGAGGUGCGAAAGCGUGGGGAGCAAACAGG